Molecule: ribosomal RNA, 704 nt
Filed under: uncultured Gammaproteobacteria bacterium
Lineage: Bacteria; Pseudomonadati; Pseudomonadota; Gammaproteobacteria
Description: bacterial SSU rRNA
Rfam family: Bacterial small subunit ribosomal RNA
Source: RNAcentral
AGUCGAACGUGAAAGCACUUCGGUGUGAGUAGAGUGGCGGACGGGUGAGUAACGCGUGGGAAUCUGCCCAGUAGUGGGGGACAACUACCGGAAACGGUAGCUAAUACCGCAUACGCCCUAUGGGGGAAAGGCUUCGGCCGCUAUUGGAUGAGCCCGCGUCAGAUUAGCUAGUUGGUAGGGUAAAGGCCUACCAAGGCAACGAUCUGUAGCUGGUCUGAGAGGACGAACAGCCACACUGGGACUGAGACACGGCCCAGACUCCUACGGGAGGCAGCAGUGGGGAAUAUUGGACAAUGGGCGAAAGCCUGAUCCAGCAAUGCCGCGUGUGUGAAGAAGGCCUGCGGGUUGUAAAGCACUUUCAGUUGGGAAGAUGAUGACGUUACCAACAGAAGAAGCACCGGCUAAAUCCGUGCCAGCAGCCGCGGUAAUACGGAUGGUGCGAGCGUUAAUCGGAAUUACUGGGCGUAAAGCGCGCGUAGGCGGCUAAGUCAGUCAGAAGUGAAAGCCCCGGGCUCAACCUGGGAAUUGCUUUUGAUACUGCUUGGCUAGAGUUUGGUAGAGGAUAGUGGAAUUCCAGGUGUAGCGGUGAAAUGCGUAGAUAUCUGGAGGAACAUCAGUGGCGAAGGCGACUGUCUGGACCAAAACUGACGCUGAGGUGCGAAAGCGUGGGUAGCAAACAGGAUUAGGUACCCUGGUAGAAGGGC